RNAcentral lists this transfer RNA (88 nucleotides) under Thermosulfuriphilus ammonigenes. RNAcentral's name for it is "tRNA-Leu". It matches the Rfam family "tRNA". Rfam says of the family: Transfer RNA (tRNA) molecules are approximately 80 nucleotides in length. Their secondary structure includes four short double-helical elements and three loops (D, anti-codon, and T loops). Lineage: Bacteria; Pseudomonadati; Thermodesulfobacteriota; Thermodesulfobacteria; Thermodesulfobacteriales; Thermodesulfobacteriaceae. The record is from RNAcentral.
GCCGAGGUGGCGGAACUGGCAGACGCGGCGGACUCAAAAUCCGCAGGGGCCUAGCCCCGUGGGGGUUCGACUCCCCCCCUCGGCACCA